Non-coding RNA from Taeniopygia guttata (zebra finch), 4937 nucleotides. Lineage: Eukaryota; Metazoa; Chordata; Aves; Passeriformes; Estrildidae. The record is from RefSeq and is a predicted model, not a curated record.
UUUUUUUUUUCUUUUUUUUUAAAUAGGGUUACUCUAUCAUGAGGGAUGGUGGUGAUUUGUACAUGACUUACUUAUACGGUAUCACUACCUCCAGUGACUAUAUUGGCCUAUUUAAAGAAAUCUUGGCAAUGUGGAGGGAAAGAAGGACCGCCAGUGUCGGAAUCUGUGGGUAUUGGUGAUUCCCAGAUUGUAGAAAGUCUCUGUCUUUCAGCCCCGCUGCCAAAGAAGAAGUCAUAAUUCAUCUGUGCUGGUUUCAAGGUUGUUUAUUCUGUUUAUCUCUAACAUGUUCUGCUGCCCUGCCGCAGCUCUGUCCUGCAGGGCAGCGUGUGGGGCUCUGCCCUCAGUGGGAUGUUACAAACAUUAAAUACCACAAACUACCUGUGCUGGAUUUACAAUAACGUGCCAAUAUCUGUCACCUACGUUGGACAGUGUGUCCCCAGCCUAAACCAACAGAAAAAUGCCAACACCACAGUGAAACAUGGAGGGCAUGAAGAAGGAGAAAAAGGACAAGACACUCCCAAUUUCCUCCAUCUUGUGCCCUUUGCACCCCUAAUCUAGAAACCUAAAAUUUUACUUUUGCACCCGUGCCACACUUAAUUAUUACUCAUAUCAAACACUCAGAGCUGGUAAUUCAUGCUGUAAGAUUGAAAACUCUUUUCCAUGGACAGAAAUCACAGAAAUUCUGGAUUCCCACACGCCAGCACCCUUCACAUUUGCCAAAGGAGUAACAAAGUUACUUCCAGUAUUGGUGGCCUCCAUCUGCUUUCUUACAUGGAUUGUUUUAAAGACAAACUUUUCAGGAAAAGAAGUUUGAUGCUGCCAUCUCAUUUGCAAGGAAGUAUUUAUUUUUUUUUAAUAGCCUUUGUGCAUAUUUAUGUACUGACAAAGGAUGGGAAACCAGGAUUUUUAUGCUCACCAAAGUAAUGCCUUAAUUAGAAAAGGUUAAAAUCAGCUUGAGAAGCGGGGCUUAAUUACAUUAGUUGGUGGUCCUUGACCACUAACAACUCAUAUAGAACCCUAGAACACAUUUUGUCGUUACUUUUGGAUCUACUUGUGGUUUGUGUAGCUAGCUGUUUUUAAUUUUUUCCCCUGUGUUUAGAUAGACUUUUAUUUUUAUUUGUCAGAGUUUGCAAUACUUUUUUCCUCUCCAUUUUCUAAUUCUGAGGUCUAUUGAGAGAUGCUUUCCUAUUGUUAAAUUCCAUUGCUGCUUAGGCAGCCAGGCCUCUUCUCCCUCCUACUCCCCCUUUCUCAAUCAUUUUCUAAUUGGAAUUUAUGGCACGAUAGUGCUCUGCAAUCUGCUUUAUCAUCUUUAUAACAAAUGUUCUUGUUUUAAUGUUGCUCUUCUCCUCCCGCAGCGGAUUUUAUAGUGUUACUGCAGAAGAGAUGCUGAACGGAGACAUAAAGAUUCCUGUUACACAGUUGCAUGAGUUUAAUCCUUGAUGCUCUGCAGAUGUUUUCUUUGUAGGCAGAAGUGGGGAUCUCCAGUCAUUGCAGGAUGCUCUGGGAGAUUCGCAGUGCUGAGGGUUUCUGUGAGACAAUGCCAAAGGAGAUACAGCAGCUAAAGAGAAAUAAAGGUACCAUACACAGACAUGCCAGCGUUGACAAGAGGUGAAAUUGUGUAAUUUCAAUUUUGACAUCAGUGAGGAUAUAAAAAUGAUUUGUCAUCUUAGUUCUCGGAGCUCAAAGCUGGAACUUCUGAAGUUGCUGAAAGCAGCUGAAGGUGCACUUGUUCAUGGGACCUGAUGAGGUGCAUCCACAGGUCCUGAGGGAACUGGGUAAUAUUUCACCCUCCUGCAAAUACAUGACAAGAAACUGCAAACAUUUCUUAUGAUAUUUUGAUUCAUUAGUAACAUUCCAGUUCCAUCUAGCUAAGCUAUUUUGUUUACACAUGAGCCUGUCAGUUCCUCCAGUGACCUGUUCACUGAUUUCUUCUCCAAACUUAGUUUUUCAGAAUGUUUUUGUAAUAUGCUGGUGAAAUAUAGUAUGUCAUCUAUCAGUGAUCAUUAUAAUGAAAUAUUAACUGUUUGAAAUGUUGAAGUCUGCUGGUGCCUCUAGUUUGUAUUCAUUGUGCAUCAACAUUGUCCCCUUGUUUAUGAGGUCAACAAAGAGCUAACGUCUGCCAAAGCACAGGCACUUUUUGUGUCAGAACUGGCUGCUUGGUCAGCAGUCAGGCAUGCUGAAAGUGCAGUAAUAUUUAAUCUUGGACUUUGUUAUGUAUUUUCUAUGUAAUUCAGGCUGUACUGACUCAUUCACUGUUAAUGUGAACUUAAAAUGAAGUGACAGUGAUGAGGACUCACAUCAUCUUCAUUACAAGCACUAACAAGGUCACUCUGCUACAAAGUCUGGGGUCAAGUUUUACCAGUCAAUGGAAUAGGAGGAAAUAUUUUACUGAUAAACUUCUCAUGAUGGGAUAACCAGAAGGUUUAUUUUUAGAGUGGCAUUUUUAAAAUGCUUGCAGCUACUGCCUUACCGUAGGUUGCUGAGUCAAAACAAAGUUUGUGCCAAGCUGCAGACUGCAAAUGCUGAGUAAUCACUAUUUUUCCAGAUGGAAAUCUCAAUUUUUUUACCACAUCAUUUGGCAGUGGACCUGCUUCUGUGACACAUCCAAACAUUUUAGUGGAACAUAAGCUGGAUGUUGAUAGGGUGUAGGUUCCUAAGCUGGAAUGUUCUGUGUGUGUGCUCUCCUUCUCCACCUAAAACUGGAUGUCUUUUUAGAAACCAAUAAUGUUUGUUUGGUCCACUCUUAGGCACUGUGAGCGAAUUUCCUGCUGUAUCAGGUUUAUGUGGCAAGGUUUUGGUUGUGGAGGCUGCAGGAUAAGGUCCUGAAAUAGCCAGCCCGUGUUAGGAAAAUUUACAUUUGCCCUCCUUACCUUUGAAAUGAUGAACUUGACUAUCUCUGCAUUCCUUUUGGCUCCUCUCAAGUCACGUAACUCCAAAAUCCUUAUUCAGGGCUUUUCUUGAACAUUUUAAGAAAUAUUUUUCACCAGCUUAAUGUUUGUUCCUGAGAUUAAAAAAAUCCUCUUAAAUGGAUGGAGAAACACACUCAUAUUGGGUGGACUUACUGUCAUUUUUAAUCCUCUGUGCCUCCAAACUUUAUCAGAUAUUUGAUGUAUUUAUCAAAUACCUUGAACAAUUUCUUUUGCUCAAAAGGUUAUCUUCUUUUCAUGUCUCAUCUUCGUCUUGUUCUAUGUCUUGAAGAGAUGUGUGCAAAACCUUCUCUGAAUAAUUUGAUAACUUCAGCAGCUUGUCACUGGGACCCAGCUCUCUCCUUUAAAAUAGUUCAUUUUAUAAAUGGCAAUUCAAUACAUUUUAUAAAAGGAAAUCAUUAUCAACUAGACAUGGGGAUAGAAGUGGAUUUUUUUUUCCUACUGCACAUACUCAAUUUCUUCACGGAAUUUCAUUUCACAGUUGGAAACUUGACUCCUGACUAGAGCUGUAUGAUACUGCCAAUUUUUGCUUUGACUAUUCAAGUGUAAAAAUAGCUAACUUUGCAAGAAUUCAGCAUGUGUAAUCCAGCUUAAGAGUGUCACGUUAUUGUAGAGCAAGUGGUUCUUGUCUUUGAAAGUAACCAGGCUGAAGUAAUGGAAGUGUGAAACAGAAAAAUGUCAUUUGCCUAAACAUACUCAGGUUGAAUCAAUUGCUUGUCUUAAUUAGAAAUUAAGAUUCUGAAUGGUUAAUUAUUAUUUAAAAUUACACAAAACUGAGCAGAUUGAUACCCCGUUGUACUUAUUUGUUUCCUACUGUUCUGGUAGCACAAAGCCCAGUUAAAUCCAGGUAAAUGUGUUCCCUUAUGGCUCCUCAGAGCAGGGAGCAGGGCCUGGCUAGCUGGGACAUGAAUUUCUGCAGGGGAUGAUGCUUUUGUUUUAGAUUGACAAGCACUUGACUGAGUACCUGUUGCUGAGUCUUGCUUGACACUGCUUGUAGAACUUCUUUUCAGACAGUUUUUCAGAUAAAUAGGCAUCAUGGCUGGAAAUGUUCUUGAAGCUUCAGCUCUAUGAGCGAGAAUUCAGGGAUAAGCUGUAGGAAUAUGGGCCAAAUGCACAAAGUUCCUCCAAGAAACUCACUUCUCCCACAGCUUUUACUUACAUGCAUAAUGUCACACGUCAACUUCUCAUACAAAAUUUUUAUCAGCAAUCACACUUUCUCCUAGAUUAUGUCUAAAGUGUGAGAAUUGCACAUGAAGGAUGAGAACACUGAAACUUCUUGUCUCGAGACUAAGGGUGUGUGCCACAACUUCAUCCCAUUUCUGGGUUUUCUUUCCAAAAGUAUUUCUGGGAUUGCUGGGAUUUCUUUCCAAAAGUUUCUUUCUUUCUUGGAAAAUACUUGCAAGUCAUAUCACAAGAGCCAAAAGUUGUUCUGAUACUUAUUAUUUUCCCUCAAAUCUGAAGUCUCUUUAUAGGCUUUCUUGGCAGAUCCCUUGAGGCCUUUUAAUCUGUGGAUGUUUUACAGGAUUGCCUUAAACCGCAAUUCCGUUUCUUGAGUAUUUCAUGCAUGGACAGUGGUUUGGAGAGAAAGUUGGAAGGAAGCAGAGGGCUGGUGCUGGGAGCAAAUACAUCAAGAAAGGACAUUUGGGAAAAGGUAGAUGACCAGUGAAAAAAGAUAUAGAGGAUUUGAUGACAUAUCCAUGAGAUAAAGCAUCAGCUUUGUGUUCUGUGCUACCAUUCCAUCAUGGAUUCAGCAAGGCUCUUUGGGGUACAAGUGCAUGACACUGGAUUAUGCUCCAGUAUGUGUUGGAGUGCAUCCCAAGCUGGGAUUGGCUUUACAAGUGAGCCCAUGUUUUCAUCUGAUGCGUCUGAUUUGGUGUCUUGAUAAAAGGAAGGCAGUAACACAUCAUUCUGUACUCACAGUUUCCAAAGGGCAUGUGAAUGUUAUAAGGAAAUAUCUGUUAAAUCUCUUGGAAUUAGAAGUGACAAUAUAAUAAACACUUUCAGUUUGUA